UGUAAUUCAAUGCAAUAAACUGAAUCAAGUGAGACGCCUAGAAUUUUCGGGGAAAUUCUGAAUGAACAGAUUUUAAAACAUAUAUCUACAUAUAAUUGUUAUAUUUUACUAUACCUGAGAAUCCUUUCAGGAACUUUAAGUGAUUGGUUACUAACAGAAAGUGAAUGUAGUCGGGGUCUGCUCUGCAGGAAAUAAACUGCUCAAAGUUAAAUGAUUUAAAUAUGCAUUUAUUUAUACACAAACAACCAACAAUUAUCCAAAUAAUAAAUAUCCAAAAGGGUUUCAUUUCUCACUUAUUAGGAUUCAUAGGAAAGAACAAAAUAGCUUUACGAUUUUGCCUUCACGUUGUGCGAAAAUAUAUCAGCCAGAACAUCAAGUAAACAUUGAAAUGGCCCAUGCCUAUUCAGCGCUGAAAUAACGAACUGUAUUGCACAUGUACCCACAAAUAACCGCUCCAAGCGGUGACGAAAACGAAUAUCCCAAUACCUUGACAUCGGAACGUAACAAUGCCACAGGAAAAUAUAACCGAGUAGAAUUGCUUUUCAACUAACACCGGCGGAAAGGUAACAUCAUCAUGAAAGCUCCAAAGCUUUCGGGUCAGUUCUGGUGACGGCGUGCAGCCGAUGCCGGGUCCAGUAAGACCACAACCAAGAGUCUCGUGACAUGCAAAAUCUAGUCAGAAAUAAAGCUGCAAAUUGCAAGGCAAUGCAAACCUAUCUCCAUUUAACGCGAAAACAAAAGGGGCUUUGAGUUGACCUGAUUGUGCAACGUUACAACAUACACGUAAAUAUUAGCACAGUGCAGACGGGUAACAAAUACUGAGGCGCAGAUGUACAAACGUAUAGACACGCCGAGCCACCAACGCGCGCAUCUAUUUGCACUUUACGAAAAGUUGUGUAGAAACGAAGGAUUCCCUACUUUGGAAAUAACUGCGUGUACGAGGUUCAUAAAACUGAGGGCAUGUCUUAAAAGAAUAAAACACUGAUUUCGGUUCAUCUCGCGAACGCACGCCUCUUCUGACAAACUCGCGGAUCCCGUCAGUAAGCGUGACCGCCCACGGUGGCGCUCCUUCCCUGGCGCGGAUCACAGCUACUUGUUGCGACACUUUGAAUUGAAUGGCGCGCCGCACCAUGUAUUGCACUCUCACUUCUCUUUUGCCUGGUUGCUCACAAUCUAAAUAAACAAUGCACCUGAUUACAUUCAACAGCCAGGAGCGCAAAGAAUAACCCUCUAGCGAUGGUCAUGAUGCUAGUUAUAAACGCUUAGAUAUUCACUGUUAAUGCUUACGUUCAACGAUCGUCUAACUGUCCCCGAUUCCUUGGGCUUGCUAUAUCUCCUAAAUUAUCACCACAGUGCAUUGCAUUGUCUUCACAGAACGAUAAUGAGGUAACUGGGAUAAAAUUCCCAUGGCUGUGUCUACGUUCUCCAAGUGAUCAUGUGGCUUUCCUUCAGGUGCUCUGGUUUCCUCCCACAGUCCAAAAACAUACAGUGGGAAGUUUCUGCACCUGUUGGAUACUCUUAAAGAGGAAGCCAAGAAAGAGAGAUAAGAAUCCACAGAAACCACCAUACUAUUUUGAACUUUGCACAACUUUGUUUCUCUUAUUAAUAAAAGAUUUAUUU
Long non-coding RNA from Mobula hypostoma (lesser devil ray), 1620 nucleotides. RefSeq lists it as uncharacterized. The record is from RefSeq and is a predicted model, not a curated record. NCBI's taxonomy places the organism in Eukaryota, Metazoa, Chordata, Chondrichthyes, Myliobatiformes, Myliobatidae. The transcript has 3 exons.